GUGGGGAAUUUUGGACAAUGGGCGCAAGCCUGAUCCAGCAAUGCCGCGUGCAGGAAGAAGGCCUUCGGGUUGUAAACUGCUUUUGUACGGAACGAAACGGUCCUGGCUAAUAUCCGGGGCUAAUGACGGUACCGUAAGAAUAAGCACCGGCUAACUACGUGCCAGCAGCCGCGGUAAUACGUAGGGUGCGAGCGUUAAUCGGAAUUACUGGGCGUAAAGCGUGCGCAGGCGGUGCUGUAAGACAGGCGUGAAAUCCCCGGGCUCAACCUGGGAAUUGCGGUUGUGACUGCAGUGCUGGAGUGCGGCAGAGGGGGAUGGAAUUCCGCGUGUAGCAGUGAAAUGCGUAGAUAUGCGGAGGAACACCGAUGGCGAAGGCAAUCCCCUGGGCCUGCACUGACGCUCAUGCACGAAAGCGUGGGGAGCAAACAGGAUUAGAAACCCCAGUAGUCC
Molecule: ribosomal RNA, 450 nt
Filed under: uncultured bacterium
Lineage: Bacteria
Description: partial 16S ribosomal RNA
Rfam family: Bacterial small subunit ribosomal RNA
Source: RNAcentral